AUUGAACGCUGGCGGCAGGCCUAACACAUGCAAGUCGAGCGAGCGGCGGACGGGUGAGUAAUGUAUGGGGAUCUGCCCGAUAGAGGGGGAUAACUACUGGAAACGGUGGCUAAUACCGCAUACUAUCGGAUGUACCCAUAUGGGAUUAGCUAGUAGGGGGGGUAAAGGCUCACCUGGGCGACGAUCUCUAGCUGGUCUGGGAGGAUGAACAGCCACACUGGGACUGAGACACGGGCCAUACUCCUACGGGAGGCAGCAGUGGGGAAGAUUGCACAAUGGGCGCAAGCCGGAUGCAGCCAUGCCGCGUGUAUGAAGAAGGCCUUCGGGUUGUAAAGUACUUUCAGCGGGGGGGCGUUACCCGCAGAAGAAGCACCGGCUAACUCCGUGCCAGCAGCCGCGGUAAUAC
RNAcentral lists this ribosomal RNA (406 nucleotides) under uncultured bacterium. RNAcentral's name for it is "partial 16S ribosomal RNA". It matches the Rfam family "Bacterial small subunit ribosomal RNA", at positions 29 to 526 of the family's 1533-position model. The record is from RNAcentral.